AAACUUACUAUAAAUGGUGAUUGAUCACAACCCCAAACUUAGCUCAUUGCUUUUCCUAAGUAAUAUUUCGGUAUCACUCCCCAUAAUUCUUUAUGUUAUCCACCACUGCUGAGAUCAUUCGCAAACGUCUUCCCUUUUCCUUCCAUAAGUCCUACCCCUCCUUGUAAGUCAUCAUUCACACUUCCACUUUAAAGCACCGUUUCACCUGUCAGCUUAUUUUACAUUCUCACCAAUUCUCUCGGGGUUAACUGUUUACACUCAUAAUUCGAAGUAUGCAAUAUUACUCAUAAGUUUGAAUAGUCUCUCUUUUCUCAUCACCUACACAUAACACACACACUUUUGAGGUCGUUAGGGUUGUAGCUUGGCUUGGGUUUGGGUAUGGAUUCACAAAAAAAGGAACACGAGGGGCUUUUGGCUCAGAGUCGAUGUUAUAUCCUGUGUUGGUUUCUUUUAUUUCCUCGGUUUUCUUUUCUUAUUUCUUGAAUUUUUUUACCGACUACCCUUUUCCGUGCUUCUUUCUUUUGAAUCAUCGAGUAUUUGAUUUUUAUUUUUCUUUCUUUUUCUCGAUUCAUCACUUUUCUCUUUUUCUCUUGUUUUUGCACUUUCUAGGGCUUUGAGAGCUUUUGGGAU
RNAcentral lists this long non-coding RNA (630 nucleotides) under Lathyrus oleraceus (garden pea). Its description in RNAcentral is "Pisum sativum (pea) long non-coding RNA (PSAT_LNC013299)". Lineage: Eukaryota; Viridiplantae; Streptophyta; Magnoliopsida; Fabales; Fabaceae. The record is from RNAcentral.